GAGUAAUGCGUGACCAACCUGCCCCAUGCUCCAGAAUAGCUCUUGGAAACGGGUGGUAAUGCUGGAUGCUCCAACUUGACGCAUGUCUUGUUGGGAAAGUGUUUAGUGGCAUGGGAUGGGGUCGCGUCCUAUCAUCUUGUAGGCGGGGUAAUGGCCCACCUAGGCUUCGACGGGUAGCCGGCCUGAGAGGGCGGACGGCCACAUUGGGACUGAGAUACGGCCCAGACUCCUACGGGAGGCAGCAGCCC
RNAcentral lists this ribosomal RNA (248 nucleotides) under uncultured Gardnerella sp. Its description in RNAcentral is "partial 16S ribosomal RNA". It matches the Rfam family "Bacterial small subunit ribosomal RNA", at positions 108 to 355 of the family's 1533-position model. The record is from RNAcentral. Lineage: Bacteria; Bacillati; Actinomycetota; Actinomycetes; Bifidobacteriales; Bifidobacteriaceae.